RNAcentral lists this ribosomal RNA (517 nucleotides) under uncultured Acidobacteriota bacterium. RNAcentral describes it as "bacterial SSU rRNA". It matches the Rfam family "Bacterial small subunit ribosomal RNA", at positions 355 to 863 of the family's 1533-position model. The record is from RNAcentral. Lineage: Bacteria; Pseudomonadati; Acidobacteriota.
UCGGGAAUUUUGGGCAAUGGGCGAAAGCCUGACCCAGCAACGCCGCGUGAAGGAUGAAAUCCCUCGGGAUGUAAACUUCGCAAGAACAGGAAGAAUAAGUAGGGGACAAUACCCCCUAUGAUGACGGUACUGUUUGUAAGCUCCGGCUAACUCCGUGCCAGCAGCCGCGGUAAUACGGGGGGAGCAAGCGUUGUUCGGAUUUACUGGGCGUAAAGGGCGCGUAGGCGGCCACCGCAAGUCGGUUGUGAAAUCUCCGGGCUUAACCCGGAAAGGUCAACCGAUACUGCGGGGCUAGAGUGCAGAAGGGGCAACUGGAAUUCUCGGUGUAGCGGUGAAACGCGUAGAUAUCGAGAGGAACACCUGCGGCGAAGGCGGGUUGCUGGGCUGACACUGACGCUGUAGCGCGAAAGCUAGGGGAGCGAACGGGAUUAGAUACCCCGGUAGUCCUAGCCUUAAACGAUGAAUGCUUGGUGUCUGGGGUUUUAUAGGUCCCCGGGUGCCGUCGCUAACGCUUUAA